CAUUCAUGCUUUCACUUUCAAUUGCAUAAAGUUCUAAACACUGAUAGAUCCUACUUCUAAAUUAUUGAAAUCAUCAUUUUGCAUUUGCACUUGGAGUAAAUUAGAUGCACCAAUUAUAGUCUCUACAACAUACUUCAAUAGAGAUAGCAGGAAGUGUGAAAAACACCAAAUAAACUAAACCAACAACACUGCAUGGUCCAUUUAUCCUGAGAAAAAUAUAGUGCAUGAUUUGGCCUAAAAUUUUAUACAAGACUGCCAGAUACCUGUAAGUGCAAUAAUAUGGGUUAAACAAAAUAGAGGAAAUUGUUCGCACAGAGACAUGCCUUUAUUUUACAAUAAUGUCACAGUGAACUUGACAUAUACCAAAUUAUCGUGAUGGCUAUAACUAGACAGUGACUUUGAUACCACUUUUAAUAACUGUAAAUAUACAUUUAUUUCAACAUAUACAAAUCUUUUAACAAAAUUAACUAACCUGUAAAUAUUGCUUAAGCAUUUAAGCGUCAGCAUUGUAAGGCGGCUAUUCAGUUAAUGAAAUACUAAAUCUCUAUAUAUAUAAAUAAGACGUACAUAUAUUUUCCCGCGCUCGUGCAAUAAUAUUUUAUUCUAUUUAAAUCGUUCAGGUGUGUAGUGAUGUGUAUAUGAAAUUGUGCAGUGACGUAUAUUAGAAAUGUCGUCAGUCUCAGUCAAUCGUCAUAAUGAGUAUGAUGAAACAGAAAAUGGAAUGAAUGAAUGAAUGAAUGAAAUAAAUAAAUGAACUGAUGAAUAACCAAUCAAACAUUUAAUAUACACAUAAACACGACGGUGACAAUAAGAUAACAUAAAUUAGAACCUACUCAUUUGUGAGUUGGACAUUAUUCACAUCUCAACCUGAAUAUGAAUUAAGAAAUAAUUGAAUAUCAAAUUUACAAUAAACUACAAUGAUGCACCCUUCUUCUGCAAUGUAAAUUAUAUAACAGUAAAUUUUCUGCCCGACUUUUUAUCCUUGUUACUAUAGUCUUUGACCAUUAUUUUACUAGGAGCGGAAGUCCAUAACAAGUAAAAUAUGUGUCACUCUGGCACUUACUAUCUUUGGAAAAAUUGUUCUAUUGCUUGUUUUUCUAGUAAUUUCAAUUAUAAUUAUAGUUAUUAAUAAAAUAAGCAUAUUUUGAAAGUUUCAUUUAUUUUUUCCAUAAAAAAAAAAAGGGUAUAUGGAC
Molecule: long non-coding RNA, 1193 nt
Filed under: Mytilus galloprovincialis (Mediterranean mussel)
Lineage: Eukaryota; Metazoa; Mollusca; Bivalvia; Mytilida; Mytilidae
Source: RNAcentral